This is a long non-coding RNA of Homo sapiens (human), 1223 nucleotides long. Ensembl annotates it as taxilin gamma Y-linked (pseudogene). Its record names the gene TXLNGY. The record is from Ensembl. NCBI's taxonomy places the organism in Eukaryota, Metazoa, Chordata, Mammalia, Primates, Hominidae.
CGUGAGGGUACUCUGCCGGUUUUGCUGCGGAAGUCACCUCGUGGCGUAGGGGAGAGGUAACACCGAGAAGAGGCAGCGGCGGUGGCGCCAAGACGAUUGGUGCCAAACAGGGCAGAACGCAACUCAGCUCUGGGGUGGGUUCCUGUCCAGAGGGGUAGAGAAGAGUGGCUGAGGGCGCGCCCUGAUCUCAGCGGGAAGAGUGCGACCCCGAGGGCGCGCUAGGUAUGAAAGCCACGUGUGGCUGGCACCGCGGGGACCCACGCACCAGGUGUACCCUUUCCAGUCCCUGCCGUCGCCUUAUUCCCGGUGCUGGUCACCACCGUCUAGGGCUUACUUGGGACACAGGCUAGUUCUCUCCUGAAGCUAUUGAGCAGUAUGUGUUGAGGUGCGCUACGCCAGUUGAGGUGAAGCUGUUACACAGUAUGAAAGCCGGGCUUUGUAGCUGCAGCUGCGCAUUGCACCCCCAGCUACGCAGUCUCCUUUCCUUCUCAGUCACAGGACCGGAUGGCAAGUGGCCGCAGCCAGUCGGUGAGACCGACUGAGCUCUGGGGCUUCAGUUCUUGACGCUACCUACAUGGCUACAUCUCCAGCCAAGGAUGAGAGGUGAUGCCAGAGGACCUCGAUCUAAAUUGGGCACCAUUAUCGUAUGACAACUUCUCUUGCAAAACAUCUUCUCUUUUCUCUUCUUUUCUCUGUCUCUCUCUUUCUCUCUCUCUCUUCGUUUCUCUCUUCUUUCUUUCAUUGCUCUUUCUCUGUCCUGUGCACGCCAAAGCGGAAGCUGAAGUGCGGCGUCUUUGAUCUCUCAAUCCUGGAGACACAGGAACAUUUUCCUUACUUUACUCAACUCGUUCCUUUGAAUACCGCAAAAUUAAGACGGCGUUUAAAACAAUCGAAAUCCCUUUUCUUCUGGGGUUUGGUGCCUAAAGAUUAGAAAAGUUUGCGCAAGGAAUUCGCUGCAGCAUAUAAAACUUUCAGGACCCUGAAAUACAGAACUGCAAAGAAACGGCCUAAGAUGGUUGAAUGCUCUUUAUUUUUCUUUAAUUUAGACAUGUUCAAACGUUCAAUGUCUUACAUACUUAGUUAUGUAAGUAAGGUAGCGCUUACUUCAUUAUGCAUUUCAAUACUCAAAAAAAAUUCCUUUGUGAAAUGUUGAAAUAUUUUUCUAAUCUGUUUCACGAGCUUCAAAAAUGAGGAAAAAAGAUUCAGUUUACAUUUCAGCAAAA